Molecule: long non-coding RNA, 403 nt
Filed under: Nicotiana benthamiana
Lineage: Eukaryota; Viridiplantae; Streptophyta; Magnoliopsida; Solanales; Solanaceae
Description: long non-coding RNA (NBEN_LNC027261)
Source: RNAcentral
GAUGGUAAAAACGGGGAUGAAAGUGCAAUGUGAAAGAUAAAUCUAUAAGCUUAAAAAAAAGAAAAAUUGAAGGGAAAAAAACAGCCUUACUCACAUCUAUGAAUUAGUGAUGCUGCCCGCAACUGAAAACAAAGCCCUUGACCUUGAAGAAAAAAGGUGCUUGCGGGACCAAAGCACCCAAUACUCAUUUUUAUUGGAGUGUGCUCAUAUAUCCUUUAUGUGAGUCUAUAAGGAAUUUCUAGGUAAUUAUCAAAGUUUUAUUGAAAUUGAUGGGUGCUUAAGUGAUGUAAUUCACAUAGUAUCGGUUAAAGUUUCAGAAAGAAAGAUGAAGGAAGAAGAAAAGGGAAGAAGGAGAUGGAGCGGUCGUUUGAGAGAAUAAAGAUAAGACAAUGAGGGGUCAUUU